UGCCGCCUGAGACCAGUAAUAUGGCGGGGAGGAGGAGGAGAAGGCGGCGGCGGCCCGAGCUGCUCUCUGUUGGUACCAAUUGAGCCAAUUGCUUCCUGACAAGGCCUGGGGCUUGGGGAAAAAAAGCCGACUGGGCCGUGGGAGAUCAGUACUUGGAUCAGGUGCCUCCUGUGUUCUGACGUAGUGGUGUGUAAUGAGGAUUCAGUGGUGAGAAGACUAAGAAGGUGCCAGUGCUGAUGGAGCUUCCCCUUGGUGGAAGAAGACAGACAAAAGCCAAGGAAAUAAACAAGAUAAUUUCAGAUAGUGUCUGAUUGUGGAAAGAUGGAGGAAUAUGAAAAGUUCUGUGAGCAGAGUCUUGCCAGAAUUCAAGAAGCAUCAUUAUCCACAGAGAACUUUCUACCAGUUCAUUCUGAAGGCAUCUCACUUAUUCGCUUCCAUGGCAUGGCUGUGCUUUCUCCACU
This is a long non-coding RNA of Condylura cristata (star-nosed mole), 461 nucleotides long. RefSeq lists it as uncharacterized. The record is from RefSeq and is a predicted model, not a curated record. NCBI's taxonomy places the organism in Eukaryota, Metazoa, Chordata, Mammalia, Eulipotyphla, Talpidae. The transcript has 3 exons.